UACGGAGGGGGCUAGCGUUGUUCGGAAAUACUGGGCGUAAAGCGCACGUAGGCGGCUCAGCAAGUCAGGGGUGAAAUCCCGGGGCUCAACCCCGGAACUGCCCUUGAAACUGCUAGGCUAGAAUCUUGGAGAGGUCAGUGGAAUUCCGAGUGUAGAGGUGAAAUUCGUAGAUAUUCGGAAGAACACCAGUGGCGAAGGCGACUGACUGGACAAGUAUUGACGCUGAGGUGCGAAAGCGUGGGGAGCAAACAGGAUUAGAAACCCCCGUAGUCC
Molecule: ribosomal RNA, 273 nt
Filed under: uncultured bacterium
Lineage: Bacteria
Description: partial 16S ribosomal RNA
Rfam family: Bacterial small subunit ribosomal RNA
Source: RNAcentral